This 331-nucleotide ribosomal RNA is filed under the name uncultured eukaryote. RNAcentral describes it as "partial 18S ribosomal RNA". It matches the Rfam family "Eukaryotic small subunit ribosomal RNA", at positions 1470 to 1796 of the family's 1831-position model. The record is from RNAcentral.
CCCUUAGAUGUUCGGGGCCGCACGCGCGCUACACUGAUGGGGACAGCGUGUUUGCCAUUCCUGGUCCGGCAGGAUUGGGCAAUCCGUUGAACCCCCGUCGUGAUUGGGAUCGGAGCUUGUAACUAUUCUCCGUAAACGAGGAAUUCCCAGUAAGCGCAAGUCAUCAGCUUGCGUUGAUUACGUCCCUGCCCUUUGUACACACCGCCCGUCGCUCCUACCGAUUGAAUGAUCCGAUGAAUAUCAUGGAUUGAGGAUGUAAGCAGGUUCGCCUGUCUUCAUCUUCGAGAAGUGAAGUAAAUCUUAUCAUUUAGAGGAAGGAGAAGUCGUAACA